Grammomys surdaster is the source of this 110-nucleotide small nuclear RNA. The record is from RefSeq and is a predicted model, not a curated record. Lineage: Eukaryota; Metazoa; Chordata; Mammalia; Rodentia; Muridae.
GUGCUCCUUUUGGCAGCACAUUUUAGGCUAAAAUCCAAGUGAUCCAGAGAGUAUUAGCACGGCCCCUACAAGAGGAUGACACACAAAUUUGGGAAGUAAAAACUCACCAC